AUACGUAGGUGGCGAGCGUUGUCCGGAUUUACUGGGUGUAAAGGGCGCGUAGGCGGGAUAGCAAGUCAGGUGUGAAAUCUAUGGGCUCAACCCAUAAACUGCACUUGAAACUGUUGUUCUUGAGUGUCGGAGAGGUAGAUGGAAUUCCUAGUGUAGCGGUGAAAUGCGUAGAUAUUAGGAGGAACACCGGUGGCGAAGGCGGGUCUCUGGGCAGUAACUGACGCUGAGGAGCGAAAGCAUGGGUAGCGAACAGGAUUAGAUACCCUGGUAGUCCACGCAGUAAACGAUGAUGACUAACUGCCGGCCCGUUGCGGGUCGGUGGCCAAGCGAAAGCGAUAAGUCAUCCACCUGGGGAGUACGACCGCAAGAUUGAAACUCAAAUGAAUUGGCGGGG
This 394-nucleotide ribosomal RNA is filed under the name uncultured bacterium. Its description in RNAcentral is "partial 16S ribosomal RNA". It matches the Rfam family "Bacterial small subunit ribosomal RNA", at positions 523 to 918 of the family's 1533-position model. The record is from RNAcentral.